AACGAACGCUGGCGGCAUGCCUAACACAUGCAAGUCGAACGAGACCUUCGGGUCUAGUGGCGCACGGGUGCGUAACGCGUGGGAACCUGCCCUUAGGUUCGGAAUAACUCCCCGAAAGGGGUGCUAAUACCGGAUAAUGUCUUCGGACCAAAGAUUUAUCGCCUUUGGAUGGGCCCGCGUUGGAUUAGCUAGUUGGUAGGGUAAAAGCCUACCAAGGCGACGAUCCAUAGCUGGUCUGAGAGGAUGAUCAGCCACACUGGGACUGGGACACGGCCCAGACUCCUCGGGGGGGAAGAGGUGGGGAAAUUGGGAAAAGGGGCGAAAGCCUGAUCCAGCAAGGCCGGGUGAGUGAUGAAGGCCUUAGGGUUGUAAAGCUCUUUUACCCGGGAUGAUAAGGACAGUACCGGGAAAAUAAGCCCCGGCUAACUCCGU
This 432-nucleotide ribosomal RNA is filed under the name uncultured bacterium. Its description in RNAcentral is "partial 16S ribosomal RNA". It matches the Rfam family "Bacterial small subunit ribosomal RNA", at positions 29 to 506 of the family's 1533-position model. The record is from RNAcentral.